This 468-nucleotide ribosomal RNA is filed under the name uncultured bacterium. RNAcentral describes it as "partial 16S ribosomal RNA". It matches the Rfam family "Bacterial small subunit ribosomal RNA", at positions 28 to 507 of the family's 1533-position model. The record is from RNAcentral.
GACGAACGCUGGCGGCGUGCUUAACACAUGCAAGUCGAACGGAAAGGCCCUGCUUUUGUGGGGUGCUCGAGUGGCGAACGGGUGAGUAACACGUGAGUAACCUGCCCUUGACUUUGGGAUAACUUCAGGAAACUGGGGCUAAUACCGGAUAGGAGCUCCUGCUGCAUGGUGGGGGUUGGAAAGUUUCGGCGGUUGGGGAUGGACUCGCGGCUUAUCAGCUUGUUGGUGGGGUAGUGGCUUACCAAGGCUUUGACGGGUAGCCGGCCUGAGAGGGUGACCGGCCACAUUGGGACUGAGAUACCGCCCAGACUCCUACGGGAGGCAGCAGUGGGGAAUUUUGCACAAUGGGCGGAAGCCUGAUGCAGCAACGCCGCGUGCGGGAUGACGGCCUUCGGGUUGUAAACCGCUUUCGCCUGUGACGAAGCGUGAGUGACGGUAAUGGGUAAAGGAGCACCGGCUAACUACCUG